This 22-nucleotide ribosomal RNA is filed under the name Pyropia leucosticta. RNAcentral describes it as "partial 18S ribosomal RNA". RNAcentral also lists the same sequence under 1 other name. The record is from RNAcentral. Lineage: Eukaryota; Rhodophyta; Bangiophyceae; Bangiales; Bangiaceae.
GAGAAGUCGUAACAAGGUUUCC